UCAAACUGGUUCGUUGUUUAAUUACUGGUACAGUUUAAUAUGAAUGCUAGAUGUUUUUUUUCUUUCUCAUUAACAAUAAAAUAAUUUUACUUUAUAAAAAUAAAGCUAGAUGUUAUAGGAUCCUACAUGACAAUUCAAUUCCAACCUUUUCUUUGUGUCUUUAGUUUGAGUAUUAAGGUUUGAAAAUUGUUGUAGUGAAACAAGUUAAAAGUUAAUUAAUAAAACAUAAUACAUGUUGUAUGAUUAUCCAGAAUUCCACUUGAACUCAAAUAUUCACAUACAAAUUGAAUCAACCUAAACUUUACUUAAAAGAAAAGGAAGAAAAAAAAAAGCAAAAAGAAAGAAGAAAAACUACUACAAUUAUUUCCAAGAAUUGGACAAUAGUAGAAACAAACAAAAGGGUUUCUAAGACUGCAUUUUCUUAAUAAACAAGAAGAAAUACCAUUGUAUCACCAACUUGGAAAAUCAUUAUGCAGCUUUGAUCAUCUUCAAUCUUAAAGCUAUCAAUAGGAUACUGUCAUCCAACUCAUGAAUAUCAUCAAGAACAAAUAUGCACACACAAACGAGUAUGAUGGUUUAUUGGAAUCUGUUUCUUGAUCUUGCUUUUGAUCCUGUUCUUGUUCUCCAAGUAUAAUCUUCAUCAUUUCUUGGUAGAAUUUCCAAGUAAUUAAAAGAUGUAUGACUUGAAAAAAUAUAGAAGGAAGAAAAAAUACAAUUCUAUCUAGCCAAUAACGAUGCCAUGUCCUAUGUGUGACAUAUAAAGCAGGAAUUGCCCAUGCUACACCAACUAUACCAAUCAUUGUGGCUUUCCUUUCUUGUACAUCUUUUAUUUCUUCCAUUUCCUCUAAUUUCAUAUUAUCUCCAUCUUUUUCCAUUUUCAGUUUGUGAUUUUCUGAAGGUUGAUAAUAUAAUUCCCUCCUUUCCCUCCUUGAGUUUUUUUUGGGUUAAGUUUUUUCCUUUUUUCCCUUCUCUUUGGAGAGGGGAGGGAGUGAGGGCAGGAAGCAAGGAGGAUGGGAGUCUAACUUCUUAGUUCUUACUGAUAAUGGAAAUAAACAAUAGUUUGGUAAAGAAAUAAAGAUUUU
RNAcentral lists this long non-coding RNA (1082 nucleotides) under Nicotiana tabacum (common tobacco). Its description in RNAcentral is "long non-coding RNA (NTAB_LNC006098)". Lineage: Eukaryota; Viridiplantae; Streptophyta; Magnoliopsida; Solanales; Solanaceae. The record is from RNAcentral.